ACUCAAAGGAAUAGACGGGGACCCGCACAAGCGGUGGAGCGUGUUGUUUAAUUCGAUGGUAAGCGAAGAACCUUACCCAGGUUUGACAUCCUAGGAAUUUUGGUGAAAGCCGAGAGUGCCUUCGGGAACCUAGUGACAGGUGCUGCAUGGCCGUCGUCAGCUCGUGUCGUGAGAUGUUAGGUUAAGUCCUUCAACGAGCGCAACCCCUAUGAUUAGUUGUAUUUUUCUAAUCAGACUGCCCCGGCAACGGGGAGGAAGGAGGGGAUGAUGUCAGGUCAGUAUUGCCCUUACACCUGGGGCGACAAACGCGCUACAAUGGCCGGUACAAUGGGAAGCCAAGUCGCGAGACGGAGCAAAUCCCAUCAAAGCCGGUCCCAGUUCGGAUUGCAGGCUGAAACUCGCCUGCAUGAAGUCGGAAUCGCUAGUAAUCGCAGAUCAGAAUGCUGCGGUGAAUACGUUCCCGGGUCUUGUACACACCGCCCGU
This 484-nucleotide ribosomal RNA is filed under the name uncultured bacterium. Its description in RNAcentral is "partial 16S ribosomal RNA". It matches the Rfam family "Bacterial small subunit ribosomal RNA", at positions 899 to 1397 of the family's 1533-position model. The record is from RNAcentral.